Ictalurus punctatus (channel catfish) is the source of this 713-nucleotide long non-coding RNA. The record is from Ensembl. Lineage: Eukaryota; Metazoa; Chordata; Actinopteri; Siluriformes; Ictaluridae.
GUCUGUAGCAGCACUCAGAUAUACCGUAUUUAACGCAACACACGAUCGCUACUGAACACCGACGUGACGUCUUAAGUUUACUUUCAUACUGUAAAACAGUGAAAGAUCUGACUAGCGCUAGGCUAGCUCACUCCGCUAGCUAACGGCUAACCUGUACAUGUUUUCGCAGGUUUUAUGUCGAGCAGUGAAAUUGUGAGAUAGCUCCACGUGUUUUGACUCGUGUAAUAUAAUUAAGAGAUCGUUAUCGUGUUGAAGAGUUUAAAACUGAGGAUGGGUGAUAAAUCGGGUCAGGGAUGCUCAUCUGUCUUCACUGUCUCAGACACUGCUGCUGUGGAAUGAACGAUUGAAUUUGUUGAAUUUUAUCAAAUGUGAUGUCUUUUAAUGGGCUCAGAGUUUUCUGGAGUCACAUGCAUUAAACUAGGCAAAGUUCUGCACAGAAACAAAAUGGAGGGUUGAAGGGAUUUUUGAGCAAGACGGUUCGACAUUUCAAACUCCACGCUCCUCCUGCUACAGUAUACGCUCUCCCUGUCUCCCUCAUCGCCAUGGCGCUCCUCUGCUGCGUCACGUGUGCUAUCGACCGGCCAGUUCCGUUAGAAGGAGGUUUCUAGGAAGCCAAUAAAUUUGACAACAAACAGCAAACAUCGUCAUGUGUCACGCUGUUCAUUCAUAAAUGUGUAAAAGAUCUACUUAAAAAUAGCAAAAAAUAAUCCUGC